AGGAAUCKGCCCGGUAGKGGGGGAUAACCKGGGGAAACCCAGGCUAAUACCGCAWACGUCCUACGGGAGAAAGGGGGCUUCGGCUCCCGCUAUKGGAUGAGCCUAUGUCGGAUUAGCURGUUGGKGAGGUAAKGGCUCACCAAGGCAACGAUCCGUAGCUGGUCUGARAGGAUGAUCAGCCACAUCGGGACUGARACACGGCCCGAACUCCUACGGGAGGCAGCAGKGGGGAAUAUUGGACAAKGGGGGCAACCCUGAUCCAGCCWUGCCGCGKGKGUGAARAAGGCCCUCGGKUUGUAAAGCAYUUUCAGCGAGGAARAACGCCKGGCGGUUAAUACCCGCCAGGAAAGACWUCAYUCGCARAARAAGCACCGGCUAAYUCCGUGCCAGCAGCCGCGGUAAUACGGAGGGUGCAAGCGUUAAUCGGAAUUACKGGGCGUAAAGCGCGCGUAGGUGGCUUGAUAAGCCGGUUGUGAAAGCCCCGGGCUCAACCKGGGAACGGCAUCCGGAACUGUCAGGCUAGAGUGCAGGAGAGGAAGGUAGAAUUCCCGGUGUAGCGGUGAAAUGCGUAGAGAUCGGGAGGAAUACCAGUGGCGAAGGCGGCCUUCUGGACUGACACUGACACUGAGGUGCGAAAGCGUGGGUAGCAAACAGGAUUAGAUACCCUGGUAGUCCACGCCGUAAACGAUGUCGACCAGCCGUUGGG
RNAcentral lists this ribosomal RNA (706 nucleotides) under Halomonas sp. RNAcentral describes it as "partial 16S ribosomal RNA". Lineage: Bacteria; Pseudomonadati; Pseudomonadota; Gammaproteobacteria; Oceanospirillales; Halomonadaceae. The record is from RNAcentral.